CGUCUGUCAUUUUUAUCUUUCCACUCAUGUGCAUUCUGCAUAGGCCUGAAACAUUUUACUAAAGCAAUGCUUUGAUUUUUGGAAACUGCUGUUGUAUAUCACACAGCUUUUUCUGUAUUUCGGGUUCUGUGAAAUUUUAUUUAUACUCCUGUGUAUGUUAAUGAACGUUACAAAGGCUGUAAAGCCUAUAAAUUUAUAAUACAACUUUCAGCAACGGAUCUCUUGGCUCUCGCAUCGAUGAAGAACGCAGCGAAAUGCGAUAAGUAAUGUGAAUUGCAGAAUUCAGUGAAUCAUCGAAUCUUUGAACGCACCUUGCGCCCCUUGGUAUUCCGAGGAGCAUGCCUGUUUGAGUGUCAUUAAAUUCUCAAUCUCUAGUAUUGUUACUUGCUUGAUUGGAUGUGGGGGGAUCUUGUAGGAUUUUUAUAAGUCUACUCCCCUGAAAUAUAUUAGCUGGAAUGCCUUUGCAGAUCAACUAUCAGUGUGAUAAUUAUCAAUACUGUGGGUUGUUGCAUGAGGGGAAUCCGCUUCUUUUAACUGUCAUAAGACAAUAUGAAUAACUUUGACCUCAAAUCAGGUAGGACUACCC
RNAcentral lists this ribosomal RNA (586 nucleotides) under uncultured Conocybe. RNAcentral describes it as "eukaryotic LSU rRNA". The stretch from base 203 to 356 matches the Rfam family "5.8S ribosomal RNA". The record is from RNAcentral. Lineage: Eukaryota; Fungi; Basidiomycota; Agaricomycetes; Agaricales; Bolbitiaceae.